UAUCUAAAAACAUUGCUAUUGCUGCAUCUGCAAAAAUGGAAAAAGAGAACAAUGAAAGAAGAACGUGGAUUGAAGAUUGAGAUAAAAUACCAACCGAUUAUGUUGUUGAUUUCCCCUUCUAUCUUAAAGGGCAUAUUAUUGUUACCUUUUAAAAUCAUAUUUGACUUUGUUAGCACAUAAUAGCUACUGCUUGAAUAUAGUUGUGAAUUAUCCGACUAAUGGUGUAUAUUGAGCAUCAUGGUGGUCAGUACUAACCACAAAAGAACAAUCUCUAUUCAUAUGCAAAGAAUAUAGCUUACCUGAAAACACCAAGAAUUGGAAGUCCCUUCUGCAUAGCUAUACUUCUCUUCAUGAGAAGCACUGCAGCCGCACCAUCACUGACUUGGCUAGAAUUCCCUAGAAAGAUCAUGUAAUUAGCAAUAGUUCCAAAUUCGAAGUAGAAUAAAUAUUUUAACAUAGUGGGAAACUAGUACCUGUAGUUGUUGCUCCGUCUCUUUUGAAUGGAGGCUUCAGCUUCGCCAGGCCUAUCAAAUUUGUGGUUGGCAGAAUGCAUCAACAUAUUGUCCCUAUUCCAGCCGAAAUUCUAAACCCAUGUAAUUUAAACUAACAGAACGACAAGAAAGGAAAAAGAAAAGAAAAAACCACAUCCGGAAAAGAAAUUGUCACUAUGAACUUUGAAGAGAUUAACACUGAAGUGAAUACUAGAUACCAUGAACUCAUUCCAGCUCAAAUCCUAUACCUAUGCACCUUAAACAAACAGAACAACAAGGAAUUUUAAAAGAAAAAAAACCCACAUCCCAAAAAGGAAUUGUCACAAUCGAGUUACCAUUCUCACAAAAAAAAAAAAAAGAUUUCACAAUGAGCUUCGAAGAGAUUUACACUGAAGUAAAUACAACAUACAUGAAUCUACUCCAGCUUAAAUUAUAUACUCAUGUCAUUUAAGCUAUCAGAACAAUAACAAUGGUAAAAGCAAACAAACCCACAUCCCAAAAACAGAUUAUUCACAAUGAAGUUUCAAUAGAUUAUCACUGAAGUUAAUGCAAAAUACAUGAACCUACUCCAGCUCAAACUCUACACCCAUGUAAUUUAAGCUAUCAGAAAAACAAGAAUGGCAAAAGCACAAAAACCCACAUCCUAAAAAGGGAUUUCAACAAUGAAGUUUCAAGAGAUUAACACUAAAGUGAAUACAACGAAUCAACAAACAAACAAAAAAGUAAUUGAAUCAGAAAGACUAAAAGUGGAGCGAGAAAAAUGGAAUCGUAUAAGUGCUCUUCAGCUCUGUUUUCGAUCUUCAGCUCUUCAGCGGUUCCGUGAGAAAAGCGAUCUUCAGCUCUUCAUCAAUUCUUCGAUUCUGAUUUGGGGUUUCAGCUCUUCAGCUCGAUGUUCUUCAGCUCCCUUUUCAGUUCUCCAUAGAAAAGUAGUAUGUCGUUUUUCUGAUUAAUGUUUUAUGAAUUAUUAUUUUUGGCCAAUAAAAAUGGGAGGGAGAGUUAAAAUUUUAAGCAACACUUGUAAUGUGG
Molecule: long non-coding RNA, 1517 nt
Filed under: Solanum tuberosum (potato)
Lineage: Eukaryota; Viridiplantae; Streptophyta; Magnoliopsida; Solanales; Solanaceae
Description: long non-coding RNA (STUB_LNC011289)
Source: RNAcentral